RNAcentral lists this ribosomal RNA (282 nucleotides) under uncultured bacterium. RNAcentral describes it as "partial 16S ribosomal RNA". It matches the Rfam family "Bacterial small subunit ribosomal RNA", at positions 206 to 507 of the family's 1533-position model. The record is from RNAcentral.
GAUUUAUCGCCGAAAGAUCGGCCCGCGUCUGAUUAGCUAGUUGGUGAGGUAACGGACUCACCAAGGCGACGAUCAGUAGCUGGUCUGAGAGGAUGAUCAGCCACAUUGGGACUGAGACACGGCCCAAACUCCUACGGGAGGCAGCAGUGGGGAAUAUUGGACAAUGGGGGCAACCCUGAUCCAGCCAUGCCGCGUGAGUGAUGAAGGCCCUAGGGUUGUAAAGCUCUUUUGUGCGGGAAGAUAAUGACGGUACCGCAAGAAUAAGCCCCGGCUAACUUCGUG